Molecule: ribosomal RNA, 493 nt
Filed under: uncultured bacterium
Lineage: Bacteria
Description: bacterial SSU rRNA
Rfam family: Bacterial small subunit ribosomal RNA
Source: RNAcentral
GAUCCUGGCUCAGAUUGAACGCUGGCGGAAUGCUUUACACAUGCAAGUCGAACGGUAGAGGGGGCAACCCCUUGAGAGUGGCGAACGGGUGAGUAAUGCAUCGGAACGUGCCCAGUCGUGGGGGAUAACGCAGCGAAAGCUGUGCUAAUACCGCAUACGAUCUAUGGAUGAAAGCGGGGGAUCGCAAGACCUCGCGCGAUUGGAGCGGCCGAUGUCAGAUUAGCUAGUUGGUGGGGUAAAGGCCCACCAAGGCGACGAUCUGUAGCUGGUCUGAGAGGACGACCAGCCACACUGGGACUGAGACACGGCCCAGACUCCUACGGGAGGCAGCAGUGGGGAAUUUUGGACAAUGGGCGCAAGCCUGAUCCAGCAAUGCCGCGUGCAGGAAGAAGGCCUUCGGGUUGUAAACUGCUUUUGUACGGAACGAAAAGGUCUGGGUUAAUACCCUGGGCUCAUGACGGUACCGUAAGAAUAAGCACCGGCUAACUACGUG